Archocentrus centrarchus (flier cichlid) is the source of this 1132-nucleotide long non-coding RNA. RefSeq lists it as uncharacterized. The transcript is spliced from 6 exons. The record is from RefSeq and is a predicted model, not a curated record. NCBI's taxonomy places the organism in Eukaryota, Metazoa, Chordata, Actinopteri, Cichliformes, Cichlidae.
CGACAAGAAGCGGGAACAUUUAAGACACAAAGCAGCCAUCUUCUUCGACAUUCAGAGUCGGAUGUAAUUUUGCACGCUUUUCAGGAUGGCUCUGAUGUGUGGAGCAAGAGUCUUAAAUGCUUUCUGCAACGGAGAACAAGAGGAACUAUGGAACGUGGUCAUUUGAGCUUCCUUGCACUUAAAACUUUACCAUCAUUGUGAGCUCUGGUAGAAGCUCCUUGGCUUUCUAGUUCAAACAAGGCUAUCAGAUGAACUGACAAGAAAAGAAAAGGCCAUCAAGGAAUUUCUUGACUUAAAAGGAAUCGAGAUGCAUGAAAGGCCAUUACCACUGGUUGCUGGGAUUGCAAAAUUCUUCAAGAAAAACCCUGACCAUCUUUUGUACCAAAAUGAGAUUUCCAGAAGUCCUGGAGUGAGCAUCCCGUGCACCCCCUGGAUACUUGUCAUGGGAGACCAACGAUUCAAGAUAGCGGUCGAUCAAGAAAUUGUAAAUGACCACAUCAGUUCCCCCAUCGUGGCCUAUGCUUUUGCUUUAUUUUAUGUCUUGAACAUAAAAUACCCGAAGGGGAUGUCACUCACUCUGGAAUUCAUCCAAAGAGUUUUCCUGGGAAUAAAUCCUGAACGAGGGUCAAAGGCUGAGAUGAAAGGGAAAAAGCAGCCACACAUUCCACCAAGACUGCUCAAGUUCCUGACUGAACUCAACAACUUUGAAAAUCCCUGGAAAAUUUGAAAUGAAACUGGAUAUCAAAAUGGAACUCUUUGGGCUGCUUUUAGUAGCUUCUUCAAAUGGACAAAGGUUCACUUACAUACACAUGGACAGCUUCCCUGCGCUUUUCCUUUAAAACUCCAGUUUUAUCAAUAGCAAGCAUGACUAUUUGGACAACUUUUUUACAUAGAGUACAAAAUGGAAUCCAGUAAUUUUGCAGAAGCAUGCCAAUUGAUAUUGUGAAAUGCCACAGUUUGCAUUUAGGUCAAACAAAAAGAUCUUUGUUCUUAGCAAGAAAUGUUCAUAAUGAAAAAUACUGUAGCAUUUGUAUUGCAGCUUUGGUUUAGUGCUGCCAGAAAACACUUUUUUUUUUUUUUUUUAAGUUUUUGCUUGAAGUUUAAAGGGUUGUUUCCAUUUUCUAUUUUGUAU